GACGAACGCUGGCGGCGUGCCUAAUACAUGCAGGUAGAACGCUGAAGGAGGAGCUUGCUUCUCUGGAUGAGUUGCGAACGGGUGAGUAACGCGUAGGUAACCUGCCUGGUAGCGGGGGAUAACUAUUGGAAACGAUAGCUAAUACCGCAUAAGAGUAGAUGUCGCAUGACAUUUGCUUAAAAGGUGCAAUUGCAUCACUACCAGAUGGACCUGCGUUGUAUUAGCUAGUUGGUGAGGUAACGGCUCACCAAGGCAACGAUACAUAGCCGACCUGAGAGGGGGAUCGGCCACACUGGGACUGAGACACGGCCCAGACUCCUACGGGAGGCAGCAGUAGGGAAUCUUCGGCAAUGGACGGAAGUCUGACCGAGCAACGCCGCGUGAGUGAAGAAGGUUUUCGGAUCGUAAAGCUCUGUUGUAAGAGAAGAACGAGUGUGAGAGUGGAAAGUUCACACUGUGACGGUAUCUUACCAGAAAGGGACGGCUAACUACGUG
This 495-nucleotide ribosomal RNA is filed under the name uncultured bacterium. Its description in RNAcentral is "partial 16S ribosomal RNA". It matches the Rfam family "Bacterial small subunit ribosomal RNA", at positions 28 to 507 of the family's 1533-position model. The record is from RNAcentral.